Molecule: ribosomal RNA, 408 nt
Filed under: uncultured bacterium
Lineage: Bacteria
Description: partial 16S ribosomal RNA
Rfam family: Bacterial small subunit ribosomal RNA
Source: RNAcentral
GACGAACGCUGGCGGCGUGCUUAACACAUGCAAGUCGAACGAAGUGGCGAACGGGUGAGUAACGCGUAAUCAACCUGCCCUUCAGAGGGGGACAACAGUUGGAAACGACUGCUAAUACCGCAUACUGAAGGUGGGGCUUGCGUCUGAUUAGCAAGUUGGAGGGGUAACGGCCCACCAAGGCGAUGAUCAGUAGCCGGUCUGGGAGGAUGAACGGCCACAUUGGGACUGAGAAACGGCCCAGACUCCUACGGGAGGCAGCAGGGGGGAAUCUUCCGCAAUGGAAGAAAGUCUGACGGAGCAACGCCGCGGGAGUGAUGACGGCCUUCGGGUUGUAAAGCUCUGUUAAUCGGGACGCGGUACCGGAAUAGAAAGCCACGGCUAACUACGUGCCAGCAGCCGCGGUAAUUC